Acanthosepion pharaonis is the source of this 102-nucleotide non-coding RNA. NCBI's taxonomy places the organism in Eukaryota, Metazoa, Mollusca, Cephalopoda, Sepiida, Sepiidae. The record is from the annotation of a GenBank genome assembly.
GUUGAGACACCAGUUCCCAUACAAUAACUGUAUAAGUUAAGCAACAUUGAGCCUGAUCAGUACCUAGAUGGGUGACCACUUGGGAAUACCAGGUACUGUAAG